CUUUGUAAACCUAGGGGCUCGACCUGUAUAUAAAGGCGAGUCUCCAAGGCCAAUAGACUUAAGUUACAAUCCAACGAGAGCUAGGUCAAGCGAGUCUGCACCCUUGUAAUCGAUUUCAUCAUCAAUACACACAAAGCAGGACGUAGGCUUUUACCUCCAUCGGAGGGGACAAACCUGGGUAAACUCGUCUCUCGUUCCCGAU
Molecule: long non-coding RNA, 202 nt
Filed under: Hordeum vulgare
Lineage: Eukaryota; Viridiplantae; Streptophyta; Magnoliopsida; Poales; Poaceae
Description: long non-coding RNA (HVUL_LNC016508)
Source: RNAcentral